This 359-nucleotide small RNA is filed under the name Arabidopsis thaliana (thale cress). Its description in RNAcentral is "ATSL173850". The record is from RNAcentral. Lineage: Eukaryota; Viridiplantae; Streptophyta; Magnoliopsida; Brassicales; Brassicaceae.
AUUUUUUUUGCAAAUUGUAUCUAUUUAUAAUAUAUUUUUAUUUUAUAGUUUACAAUUGUUAUUAAGUAACGUCCUGCCAAACCCGUCCCGCCAAAUCCGUCCCGUAAAAAAACCAUUUAUUUAUAUUAAUGUUGAUCUUAUUAAAGAUAUGUUUAUAAAUCAUUGUCUAAAUAUUUUUGUCGAUGCGGGACGUUGAACCCACACAUUUUUUGCUAAUUGGUUAAUAUAUGUUCAUUUUUAAAAUUUUGAAUCAUAAAAUAUGACGGAAAAAUUAAGAUUUUUUUAAACUCUAUAUAUUAUAUAAUGAUGUUAAAAAAUUGUAAUAUAUCAAACUUUUUAUAAGUUUAAAUAUUAAUAAU